CGGGAUGUAGCGCAGCUUGGUAGCGCAUCCGUUUUGGGGGCGGAGGGCCGCAGGUUCAAAUCCUGUCAUCCCGA
RNAcentral lists this transfer RNA (74 nucleotides) under Aeromicrobium sp. RNAcentral's name for it is "tRNA-Pro". It matches the Rfam family "tRNA". From Rfam's summary of the family: Transfer RNA (tRNA) molecules are approximately 80 nucleotides in length. Their secondary structure includes four short double-helical elements and three loops (D, anti-codon, and T loops). Lineage: Bacteria; Bacillati; Actinomycetota; Actinomycetes; Propionibacteriales; Nocardioidaceae. RNAcentral also lists the same sequence under 1 other name. The record is from RNAcentral.